RNAcentral lists this long non-coding RNA (201 nucleotides) under Lathyrus oleraceus (garden pea). Its description in RNAcentral is "Pisum sativum (pea) long non-coding RNA (PSAT_LNC023762)". The record is from RNAcentral. Lineage: Eukaryota; Viridiplantae; Streptophyta; Magnoliopsida; Fabales; Fabaceae.
GUAGAGGAUGGAUGAAGGGGUGAAUGUGGAAGGAGAAGAUAAAAAGGUUUUGUUAAUUUUUCUUUUCUUUCUUUUUUUAUUUUCAGCGAGCCAAUGGUGAGAGAAGAGAGAGGAGUGAUUUUGUGAGGAUUCCCAAUUAUUGAGUGAGUGAAGUCAAUUUAAUUCUCUUUUUUUUUCUUUUUGUCGCAUGUGGAGGAGGCG